RNAcentral lists this ribosomal RNA (253 nucleotides) under uncultured bacterium. Its description in RNAcentral is "partial 16S ribosomal RNA". It matches the Rfam family "Bacterial small subunit ribosomal RNA", at positions 524 to 776 of the family's 1533-position model. The record is from RNAcentral.
UACGGAGGGGGCUAGCGUUGUUCGGAAUUACUUGGCGUAAAGCGCGCGUAGGCGGGCUGUUAAGUCGGGGGUGAAAUCCCGGGGCUCAACCCCGGAACGGCCUCCGAUACUGGCAGCCUUGAGGUCGGGAGAGGUGAGUGGAAUGGCGAGUGUAGAGGUGAAAUUCGUAGAGAUUCGCCGGAACACCAGUGGCGAAGGCGGCUCACUGGCCCGAUACUGACGCUGAGGUGCGACAGCGUGGGGAGCAAACAGG